This 465-nucleotide ribosomal RNA is filed under the name uncultured bacterium. RNAcentral's name for it is "partial 16S ribosomal RNA". It matches the Rfam family "Bacterial small subunit ribosomal RNA", at positions 338 to 795 of the family's 1533-position model. The record is from RNAcentral.
ACUACGGGUGGCAGCAGUGGGGAAUAUUGCGCAUUGGGCGAAAGCCUGACGCAGCGACGCCGCGUGAGGGAUGACGGUCUUCGGAUCGUAAACCUCUGUCAGCAGGGACGAACGGUCACUGUGCUAAUCAGCAGUGAAUUGACGGUACCUGCAAAGGAAGCACCGGCUAACUCCGUGCCAGCAGCCGCGGUAAUACGGAGGGUGCGAGGGUUAGUCGGAAUUACUGGGCGUAACGCGCUCGUAGGCGGUAUGUCAAGUCAAGGGUGAAGUCCCCGCGCUUAACGUGGGAACUGCCUUUGAAACUGGCAAACUUGAGUGUGUGAGAGGAUAGUGGAAUUCCAGGUGUAGGAGUGAAAUCCGUAGAUAUCUGGAGGAACAUCAGUGGCGAAGGCGACUAUCUGGCACAUAACUGACGCUGAGGAGCGAAAGCGUGGGUAGCAAACAGGAUUAGAUACCCUAGUAGUC